GAUGAAGAACGUAGCGAAAUGCGAUAAGUAGUGUGAAUUGCAGAAUUCAGUGAAUCAUCGAGUCUUUGAACGCACAUUGCGCCCACUGGUAUUCCGGGGGGCAUGCCUGUCCGAGCGUCAUUGCUGCCCUCAAGCACGGCUUGUGUGUUGGGCCUCCGUCCUCCUCCCGGGGGACGGGCCCGAAAGGCAGCGGCGGCACCGCGUCCGGUCCUCGAGCGUAUGGGGCUUCGUCACCCGCUCUUGUAGGCCCGGCCGGCGCUUGCCGACACAUCAAUCUUUUUUCCAGGUUGACCUCGGAUCAGGUAGGGAUACCCGCUGAACUUAAGCAUAUCAAUAAGCGGAGGA
Molecule: unclassified non-coding RNA, 345 nt
Filed under: soil metagenome
Description: partial contains 5.8S ribosomal RNA, internal transcribed spacer 2, and large subunit ribosomal RNA
Rfam family: 5.8S ribosomal RNA (bases 1-120)
Source: RNAcentral